GGCCUAACACAUGCAAGUCGAGCGGGGUUUUCGGACCUAGCGGCGGACGGGUGAGUAAUACGUAGGAAGCUGCCCGAUAGAGGGGGAUACCAGUUGGAAACGACUGUUAAUACCGCAUAAUGUCUACGGACCAAAGUGUGGGACCUUCGGGCCACAUGCUAUCGGAUGCGCCUACGUGGGAUUAGCUAGUUGGUGAGGUAAUGGCUCACCAAGGCGACGAUCUCUAGCUGGUUUGAGAGGAUGAUCAGCCACACUGGAACUGAGACACGGUCCAGACUCCUACGGGAGGCAGCAGUGGGGAAUAUUGGACAAUGGGCGCAAGCCUGAUCCAGCCAUGCCGCGUGUGUGAAGAAGGCCUUCGGGUUGUAAAGCAC
Molecule: ribosomal RNA, 374 nt
Filed under: uncultured organism
Description: bacterial SSU rRNA
Rfam family: Bacterial small subunit ribosomal RNA
Source: RNAcentral